This 592-nucleotide small RNA is filed under the name Pongo abelii (Sumatran orangutan). RNAcentral's name for it is "3prime overlapping ncRNA". The record is from RNAcentral. Lineage: Eukaryota; Metazoa; Chordata; Mammalia; Primates; Hominidae.
UGGAGGGUUAAAAGGAAUAAUUUCAACAGGGUGAAGGCCUGGCACGGUGGCUCACAACUGUAAUCCCAGGACUUUGGGAGGCUGAGGUUACAGUGAGCUGAGAUCGCACCCCUGUACUCCAGCCUAGGUGACAAAGCAGCAAGACUCAGUCUCAAAACAAACAAACAAAAAAAAACGGGAAAACAGGUACAGACAAUAGCUGCCCGGAGUUAUACAGAAACUUGAUUGGGUAACCCUGGACCUUUCCAGGCUGUGGCCAGCAGUUGACCCUGCCUGCCUUUCCUCCAUUGUUUUCACAUGUCUGACCUUCUCUGUCACAAAGUAGUGGCCUACUAGAGUCUCUCUGGAGGGAGCAAGGAGGCUCAGUGGCCCAGUUCAGCAAUUCGAAGUCCCUUUGUUUUGUGCUUCCAACCUGUUUUGUUCCCCUUCAGAGUUCUCUCGCCUUCCAAUAAAAACUUCCCUGUCCUGUGCCCCAGUCCCUCAGAGUCCACAAGAGGUUCAACUUGCUCAUCUGAUGUGUGAACUACAUCACACAGUUGAAUGAGAGUUUGACAAUUGCAACAGAACUUCUAUAAAUACAUCACUUAUUGUA